This is a long non-coding RNA of Aricia agestis (brown argus), 99 nucleotides long. RefSeq lists it as uncharacterized. Lineage: Eukaryota; Metazoa; Arthropoda; Insecta; Lepidoptera; Lycaenidae. The transcript is spliced from 3 exons. The record is from RefSeq and is a predicted model, not a curated record.
AAUAAUUACCACUGAACAAUCAGCGCUGGUUUAAAAUAGCUGGCAUAUGGCUAGCAGAAUAGUAGAUAAAACACUUAAUUAAACAUUUAACAAAUUAAC